Molecule: long non-coding RNA, 1159 nt
Filed under: Struthio camelus australis
Lineage: Eukaryota; Metazoa; Chordata; Aves; Struthioniformes; Struthionidae
Description: lncRNA (ENSSCUG00000011079.1)
Source: RNAcentral
CCGAAACCUGGGUGGGGCUGUGCUACUGGCAGACAUGGACCUCCCCAAAGGCUAAUGUACAGGUCAGAGCUGCCAACUUUCUGCUACAGAAUCAAGCUGCCUAAGCCAUCCUUUCCGACUGUAAGCUGUGCCCAUCCAGCCAGGAAACAGGCUACAUAGUUGCUGGCAUGUCUCAAACUGAUAUAUCAGGUAAUUAAAAGUCUCUGUAAACAAUUCAUAAUCAGCUGAAAGAUUUUUGUUUUAAUCAUAUGCAUGGCUAAUAAGUACAUUAAAGUUUAAUCUGUUUCUUGCUGUUACAUAAGCAACGAAAGAGGUUACAUUAAAUGUAUUAUCAGUGAUUCUAAAUCCUGGAGUUCUCCAAAUCCUGCACUUUGUGAGGAGCUCCAUUUCACUUUACUUACCAGAUCCUAUUCUUUCCAGAUCUGAAAGAAACAUCACACACCAAAGUGAUUGUGAUUAUGCUCAUUUGGAAAACACUGAAGGGGUGUGCUAGAUUUUCUGAGUUUCACCUUCAUUCCCUGAAGCCUUGCUCCUGUUCUUAGAUAUAUUUUUUCCUCCUUUGGCUCACUCCCUCUCUCAGCUGGGACUUGUGGAGUUCCUGUAGAAAUUAGCCCGUGCUCCUGGUGCCAGUGACCUGCCCUUUCUCUCUAGAUUCCUUGUUGCUUUUGAUUUGAUUUUCUUUUCUUUUUAGUAAGUAAUAAGAUAAUAUGUGCAUGCUUUGGGACUUGCAAAAGCCUGAGGCCUCUCACAAUAUGCUUCUCUGCUCCUCUCGCUAACACACGGAGAUUAAAUGCUGGCUCUGUGUUUGUUACUCAUCUGAAGCCUUCAAUGCCACACUGACUUCCAUCUUAAUCUCACCUGUUUUAAGUGGGCUUUUGUUCUGCAAAACCUCUCUGACUUAAGCCCUUAAUUAUUUUGCUCCCAAAAGCUGCUCCAAUUCCCAUCAUACUUUUCGGAAGCUAAAACUGGGGCCGUUCAGAGGUUAAAGCUCAGAGCUCUGAAUUGUAUUGAAGACCCUAGCAAUCAACUCACAAAAGCAGCUGUGUUAGAGACAGAUGCCUCUGGGACUGUUUUUGGUACUAUAUAUGUGUACAGGCCUAUGCCUGUUACACUUUAAUUUUUUGUCUCACCUUCUCAUAGUAAGAAUUUAGAAUACCCU